AUGAACGCUGGCGGCGUGCCUAAUACAUGCAAGUCGAGCGAACAGAUGAGGAGCUUGCUCCUCUGACGUUAGCGGCGGACGGGUGAGUAACACGUGGAUAACCUACCUAUAAGACUGGGAUAACUUCGGGAAACCGGAGCUAAUACCGGAUAAUAUAUUGAACCGCAUGGUUCAAUAGUGAAAGACGGUUUUGCUGUCACUUAUAGAUGGAUCCGCGCCGCAUUAGCUAGUUGGUAAGGUAACGGCUUACCAAGGCAACGAUGCGUAGCCGACCUGAGAGGGUGAUCGGCCACACUGGAACUGAGACACGGUCCAGACUCCUACGGGAGGCAGCAGUAGGGAAUCUUCCGCAAUGGGCGAAAGCUUGACGGAGCAACGCCGCGUGAGUGAUGAAGGUCUUCGGAUCGUAAAACUCUGUUAUUAGGGAAGAACAAAUGUGUAAGUAACUAUGCACGUCUUGACGGUACCUAAUCAGAAAACCACGGCUAACUACGU
This 495-nucleotide ribosomal RNA is filed under the name uncultured bacterium. RNAcentral describes it as "partial 16S ribosomal RNA". It matches the Rfam family "Bacterial small subunit ribosomal RNA", at positions 29 to 506 of the family's 1533-position model. The record is from RNAcentral.